UACGUAGGCAGCAAGCGUUGUUCGGAGUUACUGGGCGUAAAGAGUGUGUAGGCGGUCGUCCAAGUCUGGUGUGAAAUCUCCCGGCUUAACUGGGAGGGUGCGCCGAAAACUGGAUGGCUUGAGUAUGGGAGAGGAAAGCGGAAUUCCUGGUGUAGCGGUGAAAUGCGUAGAUAUCAGGAGGAACACCUGCGGUGUAGACGGCUUUCUGGACCAUGACUGACGCUGAGACACGAAAGCGUGGGGAGCAAACAG
RNAcentral lists this ribosomal RNA (252 nucleotides) under uncultured prokaryote. RNAcentral describes it as "partial 16S ribosomal RNA". It matches the Rfam family "Bacterial small subunit ribosomal RNA", at positions 524 to 775 of the family's 1533-position model. The record is from RNAcentral.